RNAcentral lists this ribosomal RNA (497 nucleotides) under uncultured bacterium. Its description in RNAcentral is "partial 16S ribosomal RNA". It matches the Rfam family "Bacterial small subunit ribosomal RNA", at positions 28 to 507 of the family's 1533-position model. The record is from RNAcentral.
GACGAACGCUGGCGGCGUGCCUAAUACAUGCAAGUAGAACGCUGAAGAGAGGAGCUUGCUCUUCUUGGAUGAGUUGCGAACGGGUGAGUAACGCGUAGGUAACCUGCCUGGUAGCGGGGGAUAACUAUUGGAAACGAUAGCUAAUACCGCAUAAAAUGGAUUAUCGCAUGAUGAUCCAUUGAAAGGUGCAAAUGCAUCACUACCAGGUGGCCUUGCGUUGGAUUAGUUAGUUGGUGGGGUAACGGGGCAUCAAGGCGAGGCUACAUAGCCGACCUGAGAGGGUGGUCGGCCGGACUGGGAGUGGGACAGGGCCCAGAGGCCUGGGGGAGGGAGCAGGAGGGAAUCGGGGGCAAGGGGCGGAAGUCUGACCGAGCAAGGCCGAGGGAGGGAAGAAGGUUGUCGGGUCGGAAAGGUAGGUUGUAGGGGGAGAACGAGUGUGAGAGUGGAAAGUUCACAGUGUGACGGUAGCUGGCCAGAAAGGGACGGCUAACUACGUG